GGCCAAGUGGCGGAAUUGGCAGACGCUCGGGACUUAAAAUCCCGUGUCCGUAAUGGACGUGCGGGUUCGAGUCCCGCCUUGGCUA
This 85-nucleotide transfer RNA is filed under the name hydrothermal vent metagenome. Its description in RNAcentral is "tRNA-Leu-TAA". It matches the Rfam family "tRNA". From Rfam's summary of the family: Transfer RNA (tRNA) molecules are approximately 80 nucleotides in length. Their secondary structure includes four short double-helical elements and three loops (D, anti-codon, and T loops). The record is from RNAcentral.